CUCGCAGCUCUCUCUCUCUCCCGCUCUGAUACCAGAUGUUAUGGUUGCUAGGGUUUGAGCGGGAGAGAGAGAGCUGCGAGGGCGCGAGAGAGCCGGCCGUGGGGGUCCUUUCCCACAGCCAAGCAAGAGAGAAAAGGGUUUUCCUUCUUAAUUCUUGCCUGAUUAGAUUGAUACAUCUCUCCAUAUAUAGAGAGGUUUACUUGACUCCCAAGUAAGGCUUACUUGAUCCCUAAGCAAACCCUAAGACUAACGGGCCCAGGUCCAUCACGUACUCUAACAACAUAACGAAAGUGCAUCAAGUACAAGCUUUUGAUAAUUUAUCUCAAAAACAGAUAAAUAUUUGGCAUUGCUUAACAAGGGUAGUAAAAUAUUUGAGUGAUUACUAUUUUACAGCUCCACUGGACCCUGAUGAAAAGGGAACAGCAACAGAAAGUGGCAUCUUCCUCUGUUGCCUUGAUUCCUCUCCUUGGAGGUCACAUUUGUAAUAUUGCCAUUUUAGGGCAAGGCACAGUAAGCAAGUUGCAGUGCAAUACCAUCUUUAGAUUCUUUUUCACCAAGGUCUGCAAGUGAUGUUCAAAUUUAGCUGAUGCUAUUAUUUUCAGUGCAACGCCAUCUUUAGAUUCCUUUUCGCCAAGGUCUGCAACUGAUGUUUAAAUUUAGCUGAUCCUAUUAUUUUCUCUGUACGUAUCAGUUCUCAUCAAAUGUGUGAAUAUUACUUCUUCGAAGUAUGCAUUUAUAAAGUGCAUAUAAUAGAUUCAUGCUUUCUAUCUCAUUAUAACAAAGUAUCAUCGAUUUUUUAUUAAAGAAAGACAUACUAUUGACUUUAUUCACUUUCUACAAGAACAACAACAACAACAAAGCCUUUCAGUCCCAAACAAGUUGGGAUAGGCUAGAGUUGAAACCCAUAAGAUCUCAAAACCUAGUCAUGGUUCUGGAACGUGGAUAGCCAACUUCCAUGCACCCCUGUCCACGGCUAGUUCGUUGGUGAUAUUCUAGUGCUUCAGAUCUCUCUUUACGGAUCCUUCCAUGUCAUGUUUGGUCUACUCCGACCUCUCUUGCAUUAUCAGCCACGGCUUAAUCUUCCGCAGGGGCCUGCAUUGUAUGCCCAAAUCAUCUCAAUGUUGGACAAGACUCUCUUCAAUUGGUGCUACCUCAACUUUAUGACGUAAUCAUCAUUCCGGACCCGAUCCUUUCUUGUGUGGCCACAUGUCCAUCUCGGUAUGCGCAUCUCUGCUACACCUAACUGUGGACAUGUCCCCUUUUAGUUGGCCAACAUUUUGUGCCAUACAACACCGCAAGUCGAAGUGACGUCCUAUCUAACCUACCUUUUAGCUUCUGUGGCACUCCUUCCCUUUAUUAACUUUCUCUUUAUGAUUAAUACAGUGUAAUCUUACAAAUGAGGUACUAGUCGCUAAUCACACUAGACUACCUAAACUUUUAUGGUUUUGACAAAUAAACCAGGAGAUCAAAGAUAGACUUCUCCUUAUAAUUAAUAAAUGUUCAAAAUAUCGGCCAGUUAAUCGGCAUAUCAGACAGUUAUCAUGGCUUGACCACCUGCUGAUACGAAAACCACCUAUUUGUGGCAUUAACGGGUGGCCAAUUUAUCUGACUGAAAAACUGAUUAAUUGGUUGUCAGACCAAAUUAUCGGUUGGGCCGAUUAACUGCCUAGGCAAUUUGGGGCCACCUUCUCCCACAGCCACCCAUGCAUUAGGUUAGACAGUGGGCUCCCGCUCAUUGUCCUUUUCCUCACAGUCCUGGAGGAGUAGCCGCCGGCACUGUCCCCUCCCCGAGCAGCCACCGGCGACGUCCUUCACAAAGUAGCAGUAGCAACUACCUUAGCUGAUAAACAUCUGACUAGCCCACAGCUAGCCCAGCUGGAGGCGGAUUGUUGUUUUUGGACGAGGCAACACAUAAACCAAAGUAGAUUCUGGAACCAUCCAAAUCCCACUACCUCACUCUGUUUGCUGCCUCGUCCAAACAACAAGAAUGUUUUUGUUACCACUUUGUAGAAAAAAAAGGGAAAAGGUUGCCUCCCUUGUUACAUUACGGUGUACUAUAGCAUAUCUAUCCAUUUAUUACAUUGCAUGUUGCUAUGUAGCCUAGGGUAUAUAGAUAUGGACAGGGGUGCGUGGAAGCUUGCUAUCCAUGUGCCAGAACCAUGAAUUGGUCGCGAGAUCUUAUGGGUUUCACCUCUAGCCUACCGCAACUUGUUUGGGACUAAAGGCUUUGUUGUUGUUGUUGUAUGUGUUGGAUAAAUUAAAGUUUAAUAAGGAAAAGUAUUAACUCUACAUACACCCUUGUCAAAAUAUCAUGUGCUGAUGAGAGUUUGCUGGAAAUUCUCGUUUUCAAUUAACCAAGAGGUCUGUAAACAAUCUGAAAUAAAAUGGCAAAUGUUGAAGGUGGUAUUUUCUAUGUCAGAUACAAAUCAAUCAAUUUGCAAGAAACAGAAAAGACAAUACUUCGCCAAAUAGUGGAAACACAAUUCAGUGAUUGUUUGUCUUUCAUGUGUCUAGUGACCGCAGUUUGGUCAAAUCCCAAAAACUUUGCAGAGAUGUAGCCCUAUGUCUAAUUAUUAUUUGGAACUUCCAAAGACUUAUAUGCAUGAUUUUGACGGGAUUUACACCAAUUUGAAGUUUCACAAGAUACAGUACCUUCCGUUUGUAGAAUCUGCAAUGUACUUCAUAGCUGACAUAGGUUUUGCAUUAGCAACCUACCAACUAUCCAACAAAUAAAUUUUGUAUUGAGUAGAAGAAAGGUGCUUAGAACGACAUAGAUGAUCAAGAGAAUUGUUUUAGUGUUCAAAACUAGAAUAGCUAUAAGCAGGUUUCUUCCACAUUGAAUGAUUAGUAAUUGAUUAGGGAAUAUAACCCUGAGGCUAUAAAUCUGCUGAGAAGAGACGUAAUAAUCUAGCUACCCCUGUGUACUAAGACUGAAUGUCACUCAUGUUUUUAAAACAUUAGAAGAAGGAUGGUGCAAUGGUUCAAUGUGACUAGUUGAUCGAAUGGUUGGUAAACCCAAUAGUAAGCAAACGGAACUAUCUUUAGUACUUGGUAGUCCUCUCAUAUAUAUCACAUAAAAAAGGAAGAACAUGUGUAUCGUACCGAAGCAACCGCAGCAGGGAAGAGGAGAAAAUAAACAACAUUUCACUCUUUUAAUUGCAUACCAGCUUACAUGGUGAAAUAAAAUUUAGAAAGCUGCUCUAACAAUCAGCAAUCUCCAAACAAGACGAACAAACAUCCAACUCAUCUUAGCAAACGGGUUAGUAGAAUUCUAAGCAUCACAUAUAUACCAAACGCAAUCCCUUACAUCCAGCACAAACGUCAAAUCAUUUUUUACACAGUAUCAUCAACCCACAAGACCCACAAGGGAACCAAGUCGGCACCAACAAGUAGCAACCCACCGAUGCCCAACCAGCCAAACCCCGCAAGGAAGGACCCGACCAAUACAUACAUACCACAAGUCCAAAACCCCAGUGCGCGCACACACACAGCGCGACUGAACAUUAAUCCACUCUACGGUGACAUCAGUUUUUUUUUAGUAACUACCAUGACAUCAGUUAUGUUUAAUAAAAGCGGGGAGGACUAGUGGGUCACCAGGAGGAAGCAGACGGCGAUGAAGAUGACGACGCCGAGAGCGAGGGGGUCGGAGCCAGGAGGUGGCGGCUGACGACCGCGAGACUGCUGCUGGGAUAGUGAUGGCGACGGCGUAGGCAGGCGAAGGCGCGGCGUGGACUCGGCGGUGACGUCUGACAUCGGAAGAGGAUGGUUCGCGAUCUCAGAUUAGGGUUCUGGUCUCGGCGAUGGGCAAACCGGGCAUGAGGAACAGCCAAAUCACUGUUUUGACUCAAUCUUUGUCAGAACUCGACAUGAAAGUAAUUUAGGAUCUGAUCUUUUUGACAUGCCAUAGUGUGUCGUAUUAUUUUCCAACAUAAAAAUGUUGAGCUAGAUAGUGUCCACUCCAAGGCGAGAAACGUCGAACUAAAUCUCGUUUAUGAAAACGCUAGUAACUAUGGCGUUUCUGUGUAGGACAGCAACGCCAAAGACGGGCUAUGGCGUUGUCAAAAGAGUCGGAUCAUUAAAUACUUCCACGUCAAGUCCAGUUUAUGACAAAGAUCGUUGAGAAGGUUAGAAUAGUGAUUUCGUCCGAACAAGAGAGGGACGGAG
RNAcentral lists this long non-coding RNA (4164 nucleotides) under Hordeum vulgare. Its description in RNAcentral is "long non-coding RNA (HVUL_LNC009863)". Lineage: Eukaryota; Viridiplantae; Streptophyta; Magnoliopsida; Poales; Poaceae. The record is from RNAcentral.